Molecule: transfer RNA, 94 nt
Organism: Puccinia graminis f. sp. tritici
Lineage: Eukaryota; Fungi; Basidiomycota; Pucciniomycetes; Pucciniales; Pucciniaceae
Rfam family: tRNA
About the family: Transfer RNA (tRNA) molecules are approximately 80 nucleotides in length. Their secondary structure includes four short double-helical elements and three loops (D, anti-codon, and T loops).
Source: Rfam
GGCUCCGUAAUUCAGUGGUAGAAUGCCUGCUUUACAUCAUCCGGGAUCCGGGAUUGGUCGCAGUAUGUCGCGGGUUCGAUCCCCGUCGGGGUCA